This 216-nucleotide unclassified non-coding RNA is filed under the name Rhodococcus sp. RD6.2. Its description in RNAcentral is "RNaseP_bact_a". It matches the Rfam family "Bacterial RNase P class A", at positions 43 to 259 of the family's 367-position model. From Rfam's summary of the family: Ribonuclease P (RNase P) is a ubiquitous endoribonuclease, found in archaea, bacteria and eukarya as well as chloroplasts and mitochondria. Its best characterised activity is the generation of mature 5'-ends of tRNAs by cleaving the 5'-leader elements of precursor-tRNAs. Cellular RNase Ps are ribonucleoproteins. Lineage: Bacteria; Bacillati; Actinomycetota; Actinomycetes; Mycobacteriales; Nocardiaceae. The record is from RNAcentral.
GAGGAAAGUCCGGACUCCACAGAGCAGGGCGGUUGCUAACGGCAACCCGGGGUGACCCGCGGGACAGUGCCACAGAAAACAGACCGCCGGCGCGUGAGCGUCGGUGAGGGUGAAACGGUGCGGUAAGAGCGCACCAGCGCCCCGGGUGACCGGGGUGGCUAGGUAAACCCCGCCCGGAGCAAGGUCGAAGGCCGCACCUCACGGUGCGGCUGCGCA